Molecule: ribosomal RNA, 454 nt
Filed under: uncultured bacterium
Lineage: Bacteria
Description: bacterial SSU rRNA
Rfam family: Bacterial small subunit ribosomal RNA
Source: RNAcentral
UACGGAAGGCAGCAGUGGGGAAUAUUGCACAAUGGGCGCAAGCCUGAUGCAGCCAUGCCGCGUGUAUGAAGAAGGCCUUCGGGUUGUAAAGUACUUUCAGUCGUGAGGAAGGUGUUAAGGUUAAUAACCUUAGCAAUUGACGUUAGCGACAGAAGAAGCACCGGCUAACUCCGUGCCAGCAGCCGCGGUAAUACGGAGGGUGCGAGCGCUAAUCGGAAUUACUGGGCGUAAAGGGCACGCAGGCGGUUAAUUAAGUUGGAUGUGAAAUCCCCGGGCUUAACCUGGGAAUGGCAUUCAAGACUGGUUAGCUAGAGUCUUGUAGAGGGGGUAGAAUUCCAUGUGUAGCGGUGAAAUGCGUGGAGAUGUGGAGGAAUACCGGUGGCGAAGGCGGCCCCUGGGACAAAGACUGACGCUCAUGUGCGAAAGCGUGGGGAGCAAACAGGAUUAGGAUACC